This 913-nucleotide ribosomal RNA is filed under the name uncultured Chloroflexota bacterium. Its description in RNAcentral is "bacterial SSU rRNA". It matches the Rfam family "Bacterial small subunit ribosomal RNA", at positions 542 to 1462 of the family's 1533-position model. The record is from RNAcentral. Lineage: Bacteria; Bacillati; Chloroflexota.
UAUCCGGAUUUACUGGGCGUAAAGUGCGUUGAGGCGGCUCUGUAAGUUGGACGUGAAAGCUCCUGGCUCGACUGGGAGAUGUCGUAUCAAUACUGCGGAACUUGAGGACUAGCAGAGGGGGGUGGAAUUCCCGGUAGUAGUGGUGAAAUGCGUAGAUAUCGGGGAGGAACACCAGUGGCGAAGGCGGCCCCCUGGGCUGCUCCUGACGCUGAAGGCGAAAGCUAGGGGAGCGAACGGGAUUAGAAACCCCGGUAGUCCUAGCCGUAAACGAUGGAUACUAGGUGUAGGGGGUGAAUACUCCCUCUGUGCCGAAGCUAACGCGUUAAGUAUCCCGCCUGGGGAGUACGGCCGCAAGGCUAAAACUCAAAGGAAUUGACGGGGACCCGCACAAGCAGCGGAGCGUGUGGUUUAAUUCGAUGCUACGCGAAGAACCUUACCAGGGCUUGACAUGCAGGUAGUAGUGAAGCGAAAGCGGAACGAUCCUCCGGGAAGUCUGCACAGGUGCUGCAUGGCUGUCGUCAGCUCGUGCCGUGAGGUGUUAGGUUAAGUCCUGUAACGAGCGCAACCCCUGCCGUUAGUUAUAUGUGUCUAGCGGGACUGCCCGGUAAAACUGGGAGGAAGGUGGGGAUGACGUCAAGUCAGCAUGGCCUUUAUGUCCUGGGCUACACACACGCUACAAUGGCCGGUACAAUGGGUCGCCAAGCCGUGAGGCGGAGCCAAUCCUGAAAGCCGGUCUCAGUUCGGAUUGUAGGCUGCAACUCGCCUGCAUGAAGUUGGAGUUGCUAGUAACCGCAGGUCAGCCACACUGCGGUGAAUACGUUCCCGGGUCUUGUACACACCGCCCGUCACGUCAUGGGAGCUGGUAACACCUGAAGCCGGUGAGCCAACCGCUAAGGAGGUAGCCGUCGCAAGG